RNAcentral lists this ribosomal RNA (465 nucleotides) under uncultured Veillonella sp. RNAcentral describes it as "bacterial SSU rRNA". It matches the Rfam family "Bacterial small subunit ribosomal RNA", at positions 338 to 795 of the family's 1533-position model. The record is from RNAcentral. Lineage: Bacteria; Bacillati; Bacillota; Negativicutes; Veillonellales; Veillonellaceae.
CCUACGGGCGGCAGCAGUGGGGAAUCUUCCGCAAUGGACGAAAGUCUGACGGAGCAACGCCGCGUGAGUGAUGACGGCCUUCGGGUUGUAAAGCUCUGUUAAUCGGGACGAAAGGCCUUCUUGCGAAUAGUUAGAAGGAUUGACGGUACCGGAAUAGAAAGCCACGGCUAACUACGUGCCAGCAGCCGCGGUAAUACGUAGGUGGCAAGCGUUGUCCGGAAUUAUUGGGCGUAAAGCGCGCGCAGGCGGACUGGUCAGUCUGUCUUAAAAGUUCGGGGCUUAACCCCGUGAUGGGAUGGAAACUGCCAAUCUAGAGUAUCGGAGAGGAAAGUGGAAUUCCUAGUGUAGCGGUGAAAUGCGUAGAUAUUAGGAAGAACACCAGUGGCGAAGGCGACUUUCUGGACGAAAACUGACGCUGAGGCGCGAAAGCCAGGGGAGCGAACGGGAUUAGAUACCCCUGUAGUC